UACGUAGGUGGCGAGCGUUGUCCGGAAUUACUGGGUGUAAAGGGCGUGUAGGCGGGGUGCCAAGUCAGGUGUGAAAUACCGGGGCUUAACCUCGGGGGUGCAUCUGAAACUGGUGCUCUUGAGUGCCGGAGAGGAAAGCGGAAUUCCCAGUGUAGCGGUGAAAUGCGUAGAUAUUGGGAGGAACACCAGUGGCGAAGGCGGCUUUCUGGACGGUAACUGACGCUGAGGCGCGAAAGCGUGGGGAGCAAACAGG
Molecule: ribosomal RNA, 253 nt
Filed under: uncultured bacterium
Lineage: Bacteria
Description: partial 16S ribosomal RNA
Rfam family: Bacterial small subunit ribosomal RNA
Source: RNAcentral